Molecule: ribosomal RNA, 450 nt
Filed under: uncultured bacterium
Lineage: Bacteria
Description: bacterial SSU rRNA
Rfam family: Bacterial small subunit ribosomal RNA
Source: RNAcentral
GUGGGGAAUAUUGGACAAUGGGCGAAAGCCUGAUCCAGCCAUGCCGCGUGUGUGAAGAAGGUCUUCGGAUUGUAAAGCACUUUAAGUUGGGAGGAAGGGCAGUAAGUUAAUACCUUGCUGUUUUGACGUUACCGACAGAAUAAGCACCGGCUAACUUCGUGCCAGCAGCCGCGGUAAUACGAAGGGUGCAAGCGUUAAUCGGAAUUACUGGGCGUAAAGCGCGCGUAGGUGGUUUUGUAAGUUGGAGGUGAAAUCCCCGGGCUCAACCUGGGAACUGCCUCCAAAACUGCAUGACUAAAGUACGGUAGAGGGUAGUGGAAUUUCCUGUGUAGCGGUGAAAUGCGUAGAUAUAGGAAGGAACACCAGUGGCGAAGGCGACUACCUGGACUGAUACUGACACUGAGGUGCGAAAGCGUGGGGAGCAAACAGGAUUAGAAACCCCUGUAGUCC